RNAcentral lists this transfer RNA (73 nucleotides) under Camelus ferus (Wild Bactrian camel). It matches the Rfam family "tRNA". Rfam says of the family: Transfer RNA (tRNA) molecules are approximately 80 nucleotides in length. Their secondary structure includes four short double-helical elements and three loops (D, anti-codon, and T loops). Lineage: Eukaryota; Metazoa; Chordata; Mammalia; Artiodactyla; Camelidae. The record is from Rfam by way of RNAcentral.
GGAUGGGUAUAGUCAGUGGUUGAGUGCGUGCUUAGCAUGCACGAGGUCCUGGGUUCAAUCCCCAGUACUUCCA